CCAUCCCCUCAAGCUCCGCUUGGCUGGUUGGGCCGACGCCCCCCGUGGCUUUGUGCCCGGGGGGACGGGCCCGAAAGGCAGUGGCGGCUCCCGGAGGGUUGGUCCCUUGGGGCGGUGAUACAUGGGUUGUCAUCUUCCACCGCUCUGUUGGCCACGCUCCGGGGGUCCAUCGAACGAUCGGUCUUCCCCUUUA
This 193-nucleotide unclassified non-coding RNA is filed under the name uncultured Elaphomycetaceae. Its description in RNAcentral is "sequence contains ITS2". The record is from RNAcentral. Lineage: Eukaryota; Fungi; Ascomycota; Eurotiomycetes; Eurotiales; Elaphomycetaceae.